This 476-nucleotide ribosomal RNA is filed under the name uncultured anaerobic ammonium-oxidizing bacterium. RNAcentral's name for it is "bacterial SSU rRNA". It matches the Rfam family "Bacterial small subunit ribosomal RNA", at positions 365 to 832 of the family's 1533-position model. The record is from RNAcentral.
UUCGCAAUGCCCGAAAGGGUGACGAUGCGACGCCGCGUGAGCGAAGAAGGCCCUAGGGUUGUAAAGCUCUGUCGAGGGUUAUGAAAUAUAGAUGGGUUAAUACCCCAUUUAUUUGACAAAAGCCCAAAAGGAAGCCACGGCUAACUCUGUGCCAGCAGCCGCGGUAAUACAGAGGUGGCGAGCGUUGUUCGGUAUUAUUGGGCGUAAAGAGCACGUAGGUGGUUUUGUAAGUCAGGUGUGAAAGCCUUCUGUUCAAAGGAAGAACGGCAUCUGAAACUACAGAUCUUGAGUGUAGGAGGGGAGAGUGGAACUUCUGGUGGAGCGGUGAAAUGCGUAGAUAUCAGAAGGAACGUCGGCGGCGAAAGCGACUCUCUGGCCUAUUACUGACACUGAGGUGCGAAAGUUAGGGGAGCAAACGGGAUUAGAUACCCCGGUAGUCCUAACCGUAAACGAUGGGCACUAAGUAGAGGGGUUUU